ACAACUGAGAGAGUAGAACAAACUACUCUUACUACGCGGUCAAAGUCUUGGGAGGAUUGAUCUAGGCGCGAAUUACGCUGCCACCGGAAACGGGUACAGAUCGGGCGCGAAUUUAAUAGCAAGGCGAAAGCCUUGCUUUUUUUU
Molecule: small RNA, 144 nt
Filed under: Paenochrobactrum gallinarii
Lineage: Bacteria; Pseudomonadati; Pseudomonadota; Alphaproteobacteria; Hyphomicrobiales; Brucellaceae
Description: Alphaproteobacterial sRNA ar9
Rfam family: Alphaproteobacterial sRNA ar9
Source: Rfam by way of RNAcentral